GACCCAAGUCCUAAUUGAACUAGGACUAGUUUUUUUCUUACACUUGGCUUAUCCAAUAAACCAAUUGGACUUGAUCCAAUCAAGCCCAAAUCAAAUCUAAUUAAAUUAUAUUUAAUUAGACUUAAUCUCAGCCCAUUGACUUAAUCAAAUUAAGCCAAUUAGCAAUCAAAUUGCUAAUCGAUCCUCCUGCAACACUUGCACUGGGUUAAAUGUCAAUCGUAUUGAUCAUUUAACCCUAGAACGAUUCUUAAUCGUUGAUCAACCAUCCG
Molecule: long non-coding RNA, 269 nt
Filed under: Elaeis guineensis (African oil palm)
Lineage: Eukaryota; Viridiplantae; Streptophyta; Magnoliopsida; Arecales; Arecaceae
Description: long non-coding RNA (EGUI_LNC048643)
Source: RNAcentral